Molecule: non-coding RNA, 18840 nt
Organism: Rattus norvegicus (Norway rat)
Lineage: Eukaryota; Metazoa; Chordata; Mammalia; Rodentia; Muridae
Source: RefSeq, a predicted model, not a curated record
UACCUCAUAGUGGCUACUUCUAAUGCUAAACCUGAAACCCACAGAAGACCCAAUCCACAACUGCCUAAUUAGAGCAAGCCUUUCAGGACGCUGGACACUGGUCAGGUUCAGACCUGGGCUUCCCAGAGAGCAGUGCUGAAUUAAGUUAGUCUGGCACUCAGGAAGGCAGAACCCACAAGGCUACGUCCUUCCCGCCUUCACCCAGUGGUAGGAAGCAUACAGCCGAUGGACUUCUUGUCUUCCUAUCUCCCGCUUGUUAUAAACCAGGUGCUCCAUCAGCCUGCCUUCCAGAAACUUAUUGGUGCCAGCAACUUGUGUCAUCACUUGCCACCGACAGCAGCACCUGCUUCUGUCUCUCUGAUAUCAUCCGCCAUGAAGUCCUCACCUGAACUGAGCUGAUGUUGGUGGCGUGCCUUCGAACCCCUAAACUGUCAGCUAAGUAAGCUCUAAGUUAACCUAUCUGCUUCAUAAUGCCCUCAGCCCUGGGUACUUCAGUUACAGCCAUGGGAAAUAAACCGGCAGGAGAUACAGGUACACUGGAAGGGCACACUCCCAUCCCCUGAUCUCCCACAGACCUCUCUGGUUUCCACCCUUCCAACAACAAUAUUGAAGCACAGAGACAGUGAGUGCCAGAAGACUGAAUUAAGACCCUUAGCUUCGGGUUUUUAAUGAGGUUGGCUGUCUAAAAGGCAGAGGUGUGAUGGAUUUAGGAAACGUCGGGACUCACAUGACAAAGAGUUUAUAGCCAUAAUAUAUAAAGGCCUGCCACAUUAAAUAACAAAGCAAUCACAAACUGAUAGAGAAAAUAGUCAGAUUACAUAAACAGGCAAUUCACCAAGAAAGACAUGCAAAUUACCAAUAAAUAUCUAAAACUAUUUCAAUCUCACUCAUAAUAAAAAUAAUUCAAAACAAGGUGUUGUGUAUUUCCCUGACAAAGUAAGAAAAAAAAAUUCACGAGAUUGAUUUUAAGCAGGGUGGGAGGGCUGGCCGGUUUCAUGCCAGCCACCUUAGGUUUAGAGACUAGAUUUGCAGUGUAAGUCAAAGGAGAAGAAUGAGGAGGCCCCACCACUGAGCGGGCUCACCUUUGGGUUUAUAUCCCGAGGCGGUGUCACCAGAACUAUGCAAAGAUGUUCCAGGCCUUUCUAGGCAUCUAUCGGGGACACAGUUCAACUGUAAGGCGUUUGUUCAUGCCCUGCAUCUUGUACAGCUAUUUAAAAGAAUGAGGUGGACCUGUCAGACGGCUGUUAAGAAAAAGAAGCAGGGGGUUGGGGAUUUAGCUCAGUGGUAGAGCGCUUGCCUAGCAACCGCAAGGCCCUGGGUUCGGUCCCAGCUCCGGAAAAAAAAAAAAAGAAAGAAAGAAAGAAAGAAAGAAAAAGAAAAAAAAAAAAGAAAGAAAAAGAAGCAGGCAUCAGAACAGUAAUUCACCAUUCUCCCCUUGCAAAAUAAACCAUGCCAAGAUUAGUGAGUGCGUAUGCUGAGGACCAGCUGACACCGGAGAGGCGGCUCUGCGGGCAAAGCCCUUGAGCUUGAGUGAGGAUGCGAGUUUGGAACUCUCAGGACCUGCUAAAGACAGACACUGUUUGGUAGUGAUCCUUUAAGGGUGGAACAACCUUUUCAUAGGGGUUGCCUACGACCACCAAAAAAACACAGGUGCUGACAUUGCAAUUCGUAGCUAGCAAAAUUACAGUUAAGGAGCAACAAACAUGGUUUUGUGGCUGGCGGUAAGCACAACAUGAACUAAAUUAAAGGGUCGCAGCAUUAGGAAGGUUGAGAACCACUAUGGUCAGGCAUGACUCUGCGAUGUCAGGGCUCCUACAAUAAGAUGAGAGACAGAGGCGGGAGAAUUCCCAGAAGUUAGCAGGCCAGCUAAGCCUGGAACACCCAAGGGGGAUGUCUUAGUCAGGGUCUGACUGCUGUGAACAGACACCAUGACCAAAGCAAGUCUUAUAAAGGACAACAUUUCAUUGGGGCUGGCUUACAGGUUCAGAGGUUCAGUCCAUCGUCAUCAAGGCAGGAGCAUGGCAGCAUCCAGGCAGGCAUGGUGCAGGAGAAGCUGAGUUCUACAUCUUCAUCUGAAGGCUGCUGGUGGAAGACUGACUUCCAGGCAGCUAGGAUGGGGGUCUUAAAAACACAGUGACACACCUACUCCAACAAGGCCACACCUUCUAAUACAUACCAUGACAGGGAACGAGAGACCCUAUGUCAAACAAGGAUGGACCACUGAGGUUGUGCAUACCCCACACUCUCACAAACAGGUACAUACUUGCACACACACACACACACACACACACACACACACACACACACACACACUGAUAGAAAAGAAAAGGAGAAAUGCCUUUUAGGGGAGGAAAUCAGAAGGGAGAGAAGUUGGGGGUGGUGAGCAGGAGUGGGUACCAGUAGUCAAGGAAGAGAAGUAGAGUUUGUAACGUUCCAGGCCCCUACGUUUCCAUCUCUAUACUGAGCUUGUGUUAUCCAUGCCACCUGCUGAAAAGAGUAAAACCUAAGAAUGGGGGUGGGGGUGGGGCAUGGAUUUCAAUAGGAUUUCAGCCAUUCUCACAUCUAAGCUCACUUCUCUCGUUCUUCGAGGAAUAGCUCCAGGCCUAUGUCACAAGCAGGUCUCAGGGGCUUCGGGAGACUUCCCAGGAUGUGCAUCUUUUAACUUAGGGGCAAAGGGUGUCUAUCAGCUGCAUACCAAGUAUCCCGAGUCUCAGUGACCGAAAACAGCAACCGGUGAUGGCGCCUGAUGAGUCCCCAGGUCUUGAUGGCUCUCGUCUGGGUUUACUGAUGUGUCUGUGAGUAGCUGACCAGUUGUCCAGUAGGUCCCCAAUGACAUUAGCCAUGACAAUGUGGCUUUCCUUCGAGUGUCUCUCAUUGCUCCUCCAGGCUGACUCAGGCUCAUCCUCAGGGCAGAAGCACACACAUAAGGAGGAAGAAGUGUGUGCACAGCAGAAAGCAGCCAGCACCUUUUCCAACUCUUCCUGCAUUCCAGUUGCUAAUGUUCCCUUGAACACUGCAAGUCUCACGACCAAACUGAGACUCUGGGGGAAUGUGGGAAGGCAUUCCCAAGGACUUGCAUACGGGCAGGCCAGAUUAUACCAUAGACACCAGCUCAGAGCUGUUGACAGACAGGGAUUACUGGAAGCUGGUUAUAGGGGAACCCAUCACUGGUCAAUGAGCCUCCUCAUCGGUGCGUUCAACUUGGGGAUGAAGAAGUCUUUGUUGGACUGGGACCGAAAUGGAGACCACAAAACCUAACAGGAAGAGCGUCAUCUCAGCAGUGAGUAGUUGGAGAUUAGCUUUCAGGAGUUUAUCCCCAAAGGAUUGAGUACUGUUUGUCAUAGGUACCCAUUAAACAGCCCUGGUCUGGUCUCUCUUCCUCCUUUCCUCCCACCAUUUAUAAUCACCCACUCCAUGCAACCACACAUGCCCUUGCCUGGAGAAUAGAUAAAGUUAGGAACUCUUGUUUUUCUCAAGAUAGGGUCUCAUGUAGCCUAGGCUAUCCUCAAACUGUUUGUGUUGCAGAGAAUGACCUUGAAUUCCAGAUCCUACUGUUUCCACUUCCCAAGUUGUGUGAGCCACCAUGCUCAACUCUAAGGCAAGAACUGACCGUAAAGAAACUUCCGUUUUUCGUUGAUCCAGGUGGCUUCAAGCCCACUCCCACUCUGCCACCGAGGGCUGAAGUUGCCUGCAUCUCAUCUCCUUCAUUCCCAUCUCUGUCAAUCCCCUGGCUCAGCUCCGACUAGAAUUCUCCCGGCUCUCCCCAGCAUAUGCUCAGUGACAGUUCCCUUGUUUUGUCUGUGGGGACUGGGCUACAGUGACAGAUUUUUGCCACUUCCCAAGUUCAGGAAAUAUUGCUGCUCACUUCACAUUUAUCCUGCUUCUCAUCACCCAGGGAGCCGAGGCCGAGGCAGGCUCUUGGUUAUCCAUUAUCAGUCUGUGCUGGAGAAGGAGGACAGGCUCACCCGGGAGUGCCGGGAGGUGGGCAGGGGCUGGGGAGACAGGGCGCUCAUUCAAUAAGCCACUAAUAUUUAUUGUGAGUCAGUUGUGGGCCUGGAGCUGCAGAGAAACUGGACCACAGGGACAAGUGCACACACUUCUUGUGCCAGUCUUUAAACAAGAGUCAGAGAGGUGGGGUGUGAGCAUUUAGAAGCUGGAGCCUCAUUCAGUACAAGUGGAAGGAAAAGUUUGCACAAGCUUGCCCAGAGGGCAAGCUGAAGUCAAGUAUAAAAGGGUCCAUAAAACAGGUGCGGGGUUGGGGAUUUAGCUCAGUGGUAGAGUGCUUGCCUAGCAAACGCAAGGCCCUGGGUUCGAUCCCCAGCUCCAAAAAAUAGAAAAAAGAAAAAAAAAAAAACAAACAAACCUUCCUUGCAGUCCCAGGUCGUGAGGUCAGCCUGGUCUACGUGGCAAGUUCUAAGCUAGCCAGCUAGCACUGGCUACAUAGUAGGACCCUGUCUCAAGUGUAUAUGUAUAUGUACAUGUGUAUGUGUAUAUGUGUGUAUGUGUGUAUGUGUGUAUAUGUGUAUAUGUGUAUAUGCGUAUAUGUGUAUAUGUAUAUAUGUGUAUAUGUAUAUAUGUGGAUAUGUGGAUUUGUGUAAAUGUUUGUAUGUGUAUAUGUGUCUAUGUAUGUGUGUAUAUGUGUAUAUGUAUAUAUGUGUAUAUGCGUAUAUAUAGGUGUACGUGUAUAUGUAUAUAUGUGUAUAUGUGUAUAUGCAUACAUGCGUAUACGCAUAUAUGUAUUUUUAUAUAUGUGUAUAUGUAUAUAUGUAUAUUAUAUAUGGUAGACAGAUAUAAAGAAUAAAGAUAGAAAUAGAUGAUAUAUGAAGAUAAAUAGGUAUAAAAUAGAUGGUAGGAAAAGAAAUUAUUGCUAGGCAGACAUACAGACAGACACUCCAUGAAACCAAUGGGGUGGCACAUGCCUAUAGUCCUAGCUUGGGAAGCUGAGGUAGGAAGGAGGCUAGAGAAUUUAAGGUCAGCCUGGGCUGCAUCACCAAUGAUAUUCUCUGGCCUUAUUUUUAAUGACCAUAAGCCCAUCCUUGGUUCCACCAGCACCAUUCAUUAAAACAUUCCUGAUGCAAUCAAUGGACAUUCUCACUCUGUGUGUCCAAGGGUCAUGGGAGCAUCACUUACAGAGACAUCUGCAAAGCAGCCUCACAGACCAGAAGUUUCUGAGCCACCUGUGACUCACGCACAGUAUGCUGGCCAUGCGGUACUUGGAUACAUGAGCGAGAAAAGGGUGUCCUGGCACACAGAAUAGCCCCCGAACCCACACGGAAUGGCAACACCCAGGAUGCCAAUGUAUAGAUACCACUGAGCAUGGAUGAAAUAAGACACUGUUUUAAGGCUGGGGGGGGGGAGUGCAGCUCAGAAUCAGAGCAAAGAUAGAGGAAUCUCAAGUUCAAGGCCAGGCUUAAUAGUGGGUUUAAAGCCAGCCUGAAUUAUAGGAAAUCUAGUUUGGGGGGAGGGGCAGAGGAAGAAAGAGGAGAGAGAGAGAGAGAGAGAGAGAGAGAGAGAGAGAGAGAGAGAGAGAGAGAGAGAGCAAAAUAAACGGUACUGCUGUUUCCCUAAAGGUCUAGGGAGAUUAGGCUAUAAAAGUGCUUCAGAGACUGAGAGGCAGAAUCCUCUGCAGACCAAGAAGUCACACUUAUACCAAUAAGGAACCAACAGUGUUUACUUUGAGAAUCCGGGAGCCCAUCAUUUCUUUGGAAGACAUCAAAUCACCUCAGUAUCCCCACCUGCAUUGGGAUCCCCAGUAUGUGGAAGGGUCUCCCUCCCUGACUACUGUUAGACGGGCUACCAGCGCCUCAUGCCUUCAUGUGAGAAGCUAUUUUCCUUCUCUGCUCAUGGCUGCAGAGAUAAAAGAGAAAAUCCCUCAGAAUUGUCUGCCUGCCAGGAAUCCUAAAUGUGUGGACAGGAGAGCCUAAACAGCUUAGGGCUUAAGAAUGAUCUCCCACUAAGGGACAUUCUCUCUUGGUACCUGCGGACUCAGAGCUGAAGGUCAAGUGUGAGAUGGCUAUGAGAACCCCAGCCAGGUCUACAGUGAAGUCUGAGGUCUGCAUCCUAAGCUCAGUGGGCCUGGAAGGUCCAGGGGGAUUCCUACAAGCAGGGACAGGAGGCAACACAACAAGGUCAGAAGCUUAGAGAACAGUGUGACUUACGGGGGUGGGUGUCUUUGGUUUGUUAUUUAUGUGUGCACACGCAUGUGCUUAUGUGAGUGAAUUCAGGUGUGGUACACAGAGGGCCGCUUUGAGUGUUAGUCCUCACCAUCUCCCUUGUUUAAGACAGGGUCUGUGGUUCACCAUUACGUACGCCAGGCCUGUUGGCCUUCAAGCUUUCAGAGAUUCCCCCAGCUCUGCCUCCCAUCUCUCUGUAGGAGUGCUGGAAUUACAGAUGCAGCCUCCCAUAUCUGGCUUUACAUGGCCUCUCAGAAUCUGAGCUUGCAUGGCAAGCACUUUACCUAGCCCUUAACCAAAGUUUUAGGGCAAAACUCUGGACCUCUGCAUCCCCCUAAAGCUAUUCACAGACAUCUACGCCCCCAAUAUCCAAUCAAGAACAAUGAUAAAAAAAAUAGGGAUUUCUUUAAUGCAGUCACAACAGGAGGAAGAAGAAAUCUAGUGCCCCAAGUUCAUGUUUGGGAAACUGACAUGAGCGCAAGGAUUUUUAAAAAAAUAAUUGAUUUGUGUGUGUAUGUGUGUGUGUGUGUGUGUGUAUGCAUGUGUGAAUGUAUGUGCAUAUGUAUGUGUGUGUGAGUGUGUGAUUGUGUGUUGUAAGAGUGUGUGUUUAUUCCCAUGUGUGUGAGUGGGUAGCAGUAAGUCUGUGAGUGUGUGAGAGUAUGUGUGUGUGAGAAUGUGUGUGUGAAUGUGUGGAAAUGUGUGUGUAAGAAUGUGUGUUUAUUCGAAUGUGUGUGUAACAGCGAGUCUGUGUGUAUGUGAGAACAUGUGUGUAAGCACUGUCAUGGUCACACAUACACACACACAUACACACACACAUACACACACACACACGCACGCACGCACGCACACCCCAUUGCCAGUGGUGAGGGCAAAAGGAAGGGAUCUCUCCUUCUCCAAGGCAGCCACAUAACAGACAAGAGACAGGGCCGGCUCUAACACUCAUGCCCUCAGAAUUGGGUCACCAGUAGCCUCCACAUCCUGGGCCAGCUCUACUGUGCUGCCCAGGAGAGAUGCAGGGCCUGCUCUCCCGAGUGCUGCAGCCUGUGCUCACUUGUGUGAUUUUGUCCUCUGCAUCCACAGUUGGUGUCUGGGGGAUUGAACUCAGGCUCUAAGGUUUGGCAGCAAGUUCUCUUAUCCACUGAGCCAUCUCGCUGGCCUCGGUUUCAGUCAGGAGGCAAGAGGUGUGUAUCAUUAAGUAUUUCUGGUCAGGUGUGGGCUGGUUGGCCAUAGUUUCAGGUCAAGUUCUACAAGGGGGUGGGGGUGGGGCUAAAGAAAUCCAUCACUGUCAUCUCUUGAUGGGGUGGACCUGAUUCUCACAAGAUGGUUGCUUCCGAUUUAGUCUACAGCCUCACUGUCUGGGCAGGCAUCUGUCCUGUGAGAUUGUGUUCUCCCCGGAGUCCAAGGUGACCGUGGAUGUAGGACGAUGACUUACCUCUGCCUGUGCCUCCUGCAAAGUAAAGGACAUAGACAGAUACGUGAGCUCGAGAUUGGAGGAUUUCAUCCUGGUUUCAGACACCUCGUGGGUCCAAGCAAGGAGUCAACACUUCUCAGUAGAAGUCGCUCCUAAGCAUGUGUCUCGGCACCACACAAUGUAACUCGAACUUGAGCGGUGAUCUCUAGUUUCUGCAGAGCCAUGGCUGCUGCCAGAGGCUCCUGGAUGUCUCUGAAGACAGGCGACAGGCAGUGCCCUCAGCUCUGCCCCGAUGGAGUAUCUGGUGGGCACAGUUAGCAUGUGAGCAGUUCAGUGGAGGGAAACCCUGCACAGCCCCACACUCUCCUCCUUCAUUUGCAUGUGUAAAUGCGUGUCUGUGUGUGUAUGUAUAUAUAUUGCUUAUUAGUGUCAGUAGAAUUUGCAUUUUAAGUGGAUUGGUUUUGUUGGGCGUGUUCUUUACGGCCCUGGACUUGAAAGGAAUUAUCCAACGUCAACGUUUGCAGCUACUUGAACAAUAAACAACAAAGCUCUCCUGAAGGGGACAGAGAGAAAAGAGGUGGGUGGAGGUGAUGUGGAGGAAGGAAGAAAAGGGACUCUGAAGUGAGUGCCCAGAUGGCAGUGACCCUCAGUGACCCCAGUAGGAAUAGCUCCUCCACACCUUGGCAGCAAGGGGGCAGCAUGGAGCAGCAUAGCCCCUCACUCACCUUCAGGGACUGACGCUGGAUGGUGGGACUGAGUGUUGUCACAACGGGGAGAAAGAAGUUCACUGUAGAAGCUGUCAGAGGUCAUUAGCAUGCCCACAGACAGAGGAUCAGCCUGUCUCUGUCACCAACGUGGCAUUUGCUAAUUCCUCUCUGCUUUCCAUCUAGACAUAGAACCAGGAACAUCAUUGUUACAUCUGGGCCUAUGCCUUUAAGACACUCGUCAUUCUGUAAAGCCAAAUCUCAUAGACAGAGAAAUCAAUUACCAUCACCCUAACCCUGAUCCUGCCUGGGCUUCUCCCUCUUGCUCUCUUUUCCCCUCCCCUUUUCUCUUCUCCUCUCCUCUUCCUCCUCCUCCUCUUUCUCCUCUUCCUCCUCCUCUUCCUCCUCCUUCUCUUUCUCCGCUUCCUCCUCCUCUUCUUCCUCCUUCUCCUCCUCUUCUCCCUCUUCUUCUUCCUCCUCUUCUUCCUCCUUUUCCGCUUCCUUUCUCUUUGAAACUAAGAAACCAUAUUGUGCUAUGAUAGUCCAAUAGCCUUUCGUUUAGAUUCUAUCUCCUCCACUCUCCUGUAUAGGCUAUCUCAGACUAAAUCAUGUUCUGAGGAACUUGUCAUCAGCCCUAAAAGAGUACAAAAGCUAGAUAACUUCCAUUGUUUGGGAGAUUUUUCUGAAGAUGCUCUCCCCACUCACGCUGCCCCUCCCUCCCGUGGCAACUCUCUCUCUUUCACUUUAAACUAUCAAUGUUAAUGGACCUGCCCACCCCUGCCGCCACCAGAUAAUUUUUUGAAGACUUAUUUUAUUUGUAUUUAUGCGUUUGAAUGUGUCUGAACGUGUGUGGGCAUGUGUGCUGGUGCCUGCGGAGGUCAGAAGAGGGCAUCACAUCCCCUGUAGCUAGAGUUACAGGCAAUUAGGAGCCACUGUUAGGAACUGAACCCCCAUCCUCUGGGAGGGCAGUAAACACUUAACCACCAGAAUUUCUCUCUCCAGGUUUUAAAGGGAAAUUUCUCUUUUCCUUUAAGGCUCUAUCAUGCUGCCUAUGAUGUUAUGUAUUGUCUAUCUGUCCCCUUUUAUUUGACUCCUACCUCAAGGCCUGGUCAGAACUCCUGGGGUAGCAAAGUCAUUAUCUGAAGGAUAAUUUCACAACAGCUCCUUUCCCAAACCAAUCACACCUAACUAACGGUCAAGUUCUCACAACUCAUUCACACAAAUGUGAAGCUCUAUCUAGACAGGAGACGCAGAGAUAGCUCAGAAAGCCACACCCGAUUCCCCCAAGACCUAAAUGGCCACAUACGCCAUUCCUAUUUGUAAUCCCAACAACUCAAGCCUCACUCCACAUUCUGUGCCCAGACCCACUGUCUGGUUUCAGUCUACCUCAACUUCCCCUGGAAACUUCCAUUUCUCUUCCUCCUCUACACGUGUUGAAUGGUUAAAUUCUGCUCUGGAUCACCCUCUCUUCAUUCAUCCAGCCCAUGGAGGAUGCCCAGCCAUCAUUAGGCCUCCUGUGAGUCAUACUCUUCAUCCCAGGAAGCAAGCAGUAGGCCCCACACCCCUGUUUGGUUUUGGUUUUUCUCUUAGUGUUGACAGUAGACUCCAGGCCUCAUACACACUAAGCAAGCGCCCACCACCAGGCUCCAUCUCCAGCCCUAGAUCUCAGCUUGCAGGUUCUUUCAAAACUGUGUGCUAGGCGGAGCAUUGGCUUACUCCAAUCCUACCCAUGCAGCACCCUGGGGCACCGUCCAUUGACUUGAUGACCGCACAUCCAGCUUCCUAAACAUCCUGAACAUCUAUCACCCUUGUCACCACAAAGAAUCUUUACAAUGAUGAUGAGGCCUUGACAGCAAUGCUUGUCUUGGCCCAAUUGAACCCUAAGUACUGGGGGUCCCCAGGAGGUGAGAAAGGGCAGCAGGCAGGGGUAGUUAGCUCUGCCACUGUUUGUAAGCAGAUGGGCAGAAAGGACUCACCCUACAGCUGCUUCCCUCCAACAAGGGGAGAGCAUAGCUAACGUCACUCUGAAAGUGCAGACUGUGCCUAGAAGCUUUCACGUGAAGAGCAUAGUGUGGAAAAGGAGCAAAAUAAAACUGAUUCUCAGCUGGGUAUGCUGGUGCAGGCCUACAACCCUAAGACCUUGGGAUGCUGAAGCCGGAAAAGGAGCAAGUUCAAAGCUGGCCUGGGGUUGCAAUGAGGCCAAGGCCAGCCUGGAACACUUAGAAAGACCGUGUCUCAGAAUAAAACCGGUUUGAAAAAGAGAAGGUGAGGGAUAUAGCUAGGGAGUAAAGUACUUGUCUAGCAAGCAUGAGGGCCUGGGUUAAUCUCUAGUGUCCAGACAGAAGAGCACACACACACACACACACACACACACACACUCAUAUACUAUCAAUUACCAUCACCCCAACCCUGCCCCUGCCUGGGCUUCUCCCUCUUGCUCUCUUUCCCUCUUCCCUUUUCUCUUCCCCUCUCCUCUUCCUCCUCCUCCUUCUCUUUCUUCUCUUCCUCCUCAUACAUAUAUAUAUAUAUAUAUAUAUAUGUAUAUAUAUAUACACACACAUAUAUAUGUAUAUAUAUGUAUAUAUGGUAUUCCUAAGGAACAACACCAAAGACUACACUUUAGUUUCUGCACACAUGCAUGCACACACAUAAACAUAUACUCACAAGACAAACAGACAUGGACCAGUAGUCAUGGACCAGUAGCACCCAGAAGCACCUAUCAUGUAUUGUAAUGUGACGGGAUGUGGCCGAGGGAGACACUUUACUGCUGGUCUCUCCUGAACAUAUCACCCUAGAAGGAAAUACUUGGACAAACCCCAACUGAGGAACAUUACAGACACACACACAAAAUGCUCAAAAUUGUCAAGGUCAAUCAGACAAAAGCCUUUCCGGUCACUGGGAGGGCUUACGGAGACUCAGCUACUGUGUGUGAUGUGUCCUGGAGGAGACUCUGAAUCCAAGGGGACCUCAGGAAAGGACUAAAGAAGGAGGAACAAAAUGUGGACUUUGGUUAAUAACAACAUAUUAAUAUUGGCUCGUUAAUUAUGACAAACGCACCAUCUUUAAUGAAGACAUCACUUGGAGUGGAAGUAGCAUGAAGACUAAGGGAAUUCUCUGUUAUUGCAACACCGUUCUGUGAAACGAAAGUUAUUCUUAAAAGUAUUUUUUCGUGAAAAAUCUUUAUCUUGGCGAAUGAUCAACAUCAGUUGCUAUAUUCAUACCUCUUGUCAACCAGCAAAGUGGCUGUUUUGUCUGAGCUUCCGUGAACACCAUUACUCAUCCAUGCUGGCACCAUCGGAUUGUCAGACUCUAAACAGCGUUCUUAAGAAGUCUGGCAGCCUCCUCAUCCGACCCGUUAGAAACCCGUCCUGGCCAAUAGAGGCCAUUUACAAAAGAAAAUUACUAGACGAUCCCACCAAGGGUUUCCCCACCUCUACGUGUCCCACAGUGAGUGAAAAUAGCUUCCACGAUCAUCUUAUGAUUAAUAAUGUGACCCUAUGCAGCCUACCUGUCCCCACUAGGCCUUAGUAUCCCCAUCUACCAAGCAAGCUCAGAAAUGGGGUCAUCCUCAGUGGGGGGCAGUACACGUAUUAAGCACAGAAUACAUUUUUACCUCGCGUUCAAAGCUAAUUGCAUAUUCCAGGGCCAGUGGCAAGGCCGGGCUAUUUGUCUUGUUUGUAUUGAGCUCCCACAGUAUCCUGAGGGACCCCAGGUGUAUCUGGUACGCAGUAGGUGAUCAAUAUGUUAACGGUUCUUCAGUCACAAUUCCUGCUAGGCAAGCACCCUUCCACAGGGCUACAUCGCCAGCCUCAAAGCCUCAGCCUGCUUCCUCUUUCCAAACCGUACCGUAUGCCCCAGGGAAGCCUAUAGCCCCUCCAGCUUCCUUUAUGAGACAGGGUCUCCCUCUGGCCUGGAGCUCACUGGUAAGGUUAAGCCAGAUGGUUGGAGGCACAGGCGUGGUUAGUGAUCUCCAGAAAUACGAGUGCCACUUCCUCCCUGCUACUGGGGUUCUAAGCACACACCCACCACUGCACUCAGCUUUUCACACAAGUUCUGGGCGUUGAACUUGGGGUUGGUUCCUGGCAUUUUAAAGGCAAGCAUGUAGCGCCCUAGCCAUCUCUACAACCAUGUUUGUUUGACUGUUGGUGUUUUGUUUCUUCUGACACUGGAGACUGAACCUACGGGUUCUGCCGGGGAGCCCAGUCAUGAUUCAUCCAUUCUUGGUAUCAUUCCCACCGGCUUCAGAUUUUUCGCAGUGACCUGCAACGCACUACCUCCCUCCACAGCACAUCAACGUCCAGCUUCAACUGCAAACAUUGAUGCGUGGGAUGGAAAACCCCUGCGCCCACAAACACUGCUGUCUGACUCCAUCCCAGAGCAGAGCCCACCUACCCAGCUGCUGUCCCAAGUGUAAGACCCUGUGCUCAGGGGCCAGUGACAGACAUGAGCAACAUGUCUCUUGACACACAAGACUCAUCCCAGCAACCUGGGGACUGAACAUUGUGGCCACAUUACUUUAUAUUUUUUACAUUUAUUUAUUUGUUGGGGGCACAGGGGAGCAGGCCAAGGCAUGUGUGGAUCCCUGCCUGCCCUCCCCCGCCCCCUGUGGAUCCUGAGGAUCAAAUCAGGUCCUGAGGCUUGGUGGUGAGCGCUGUCAUCUUUGAACAACUGAAGUAUUAGAAGUAAGUGCCUCUUUGAAAUCACAGGCUGUAGGAGAGAAAGGUAUCCAGAGUGCCCUGGGCCCAGACAAACUAAAGCAGAAAGCGCCAAGGGUGAGUCUUACCUUGAGUGCUUACACUGGAACCUGGAGAUGAGGGUCCCUGUGUUGAUGGAUGAUUCAGGAAAGGGAAACAGGAGAAAGGCAAUUUAAUAGAAUCCUUCCAUCACCCUGAGCCACAGAGAGCCUUCAUCUCACAAGGACAAGCAGGUAGGGCCUGGCCUGCCUUGUUCGCUCCUGGGAUGGGGGUCGAGGAGGAGAUUUACUUGAGACUAGCCACAAGCUAAUCUUAACGGGAGGUUGCAGUCACGAGUCGAACUGCCUGGAGGCCAGAAGACCUCAAGAAGAAAAUGAAAUUAAAGUUAUCCCAGCUUGGGAGAGCAUGGCAGAAACCAAUACAAGCCCCCUUUGGGAACCUCGACUUCCUCCAUGCUUCAUGGGAUGCUUAUAAAAUUCUAAGCAAUUUUGUGGACCGCAGGCAGGGAUCUCAGAAAUGAUCCUGUCAGGACUCAGGGGACGGGGAGGGGGGCUUCCGGAUCAAGCACAUGUCUAAUUAAAAUUCCAGGGGAUGGUAGAAAGGAAGAAAAGGAGACAGUAUCGAAGCUGAGACCUUUCAAGAAUGUUUCCUGAAUCUCCCGUUUUUUAUAUCCAUGAGGCAUCUCUGUUUAGAAUCUGAUGCUGUUCUAGGAGGGAGGGUUGGUACCUGGAAAGCGAUGCUUGACACACUAUCUCUGGUUUGUAAAGAGUUGUUUCUCCACCGAAGCUGCUCUUGCUCUAAGAAAAGUUUGGAUAAUAGAAUGAAUCCUGUGUGUGUGAAUAUGUACAUGUGCAUGUCUAUGUAUACAUGCAUGUGGGGAUGUGCCCGUGUGUAUGUGUGUACACAUGUAUGUAUGGAUACAAACGUUUGUGUAUGUGUGCACAUGUGUGUGUAAACACACACAUGUGUAUGUGUAAGCCAGAGAGGUUCAUGCUAGCUAUCUACCUUUCUUGAUCUCCACCUUCCUGUUUUUGAGAUCAACUCUCAUUGGCCCAGGAGUUCGAAGAUUCAGCUAAGCUGACUGGCCCUCAAACCUCAGGGAUUCCCCUGUCUCUGCUUUCCCAGCCCUGAGAUUGGAGCCCGUGUACUCUCUCACAGCCUCUUACUUGAGUGUUGGGAAUCAACUCGGGGCUUCACACUUGAGUGGCAAGGACUUCAGCAACUAAGCCAUCUCCCCAGUCCUUCAGCUCUUCUUGAAAUGAGUCACAGGGCAACUAAGGAACCCGAACUCCAAAGAGAAGCCACGCAAACCACCUGUUUGGCUGUAGCCUGAGUCGGAUGAAGAAGAAGCAAACGCAUUUCAAAGGACCCCGAAGGCCAUGUGCAGGGUGACACACUUUAGCCUGAAGUAGCUGUGAGUGUCUGAUAAACUGGACUUCCUGCUGUCUAAUAGCUGUUUUCCUAGCAGCCACUACAAGAUGCUCCAGAGAAAGACCGUGGGCCAAGCAUGAGACAUGAAGGAAAUACCAUCAGCAGUGUGGCUCUGAUUAGCUGCCAGGGUGACACGGGUAAACAUGCAGCUAUUUCCCAUGAUCCUUCUCUUUCCUCCAAUCAAAAGCCAUGAGAAGAGUGACUUGGCUAUCACCUGAAAGGAAGUGAGAAGCCACUGUUUGGGUGGGCAGGGCAAUGCAGACCUCUGCCCACUGUUUUCCAUUCUUCCCAUUAUAGAGAAACUGAGGCAGAAGAGCCAACCCCCUCACCCACAGGCAGAGACUCAGUGCUGAGGGGAGAGGAUAAGACAAGUACAGCAGGAAUUAGGGAGGCACUGAUGGUGUUGAGUCCAUAACAGGUCAGCUGCAGGAAAAAGACUGGGCUGGGAGUGUGGGGGCACAUAGCAGGUAAAGUGCUUGCUAUGUGUCUUAGGGUUUUACUGCUGUGAACAGACACCAUGACCAAGGCAACUCUUAUAAGGACAACAUUUAAUUGGGGCUGGCUUACAGGAUCAGAGGUUCAGUCCACUAUCAUCAAGGCAGGAACAUGGCAGCAUCCAGGCAGGCAUGGUGCAGGAGGAGCUGAGAGUUCUACAUCUUCAUCUGAAGGCUGCUAGUGGGAGACUGACUUCCAGGAAGCUAGGACUAGGGUGUAAAAGCCCACACCCACAGUGACACGUCUACUCCAACAAGGCCACACCUUCUUAUAGUGUCACUCCUUGGGCCAAGCACACACAAACCAUCACACUACGCAAACAUGAAGACCUGAGUUGAGUUCUCCAAAACCCACAGUAGAAGCUGGACAUGAAUGAUACUGCGUACCUAUAACCCAGAGUGUAGUAGGUGGAGAUUGUCAGAUCCCUGGAGCUUCCUUGCAAACUGAUUGAGACAACCAAGUGCUAAGCCCACUAGGAGACUUUCUCUCAUAAAAGGAGAGUUGGAGAAGUGUUCGAGAAAGAAAGACACCCUAACCUCAAUUUCUGGUUUCAUAUAUGCUUGAAUGGGCAAGAGUGGAUUGUAUCAACAGUCAUGCACAUGUGCAUGUACACAUACACAUACACACACACGCACACACACUCACACACACACACACACACACACACACACACACAGAGCAUACAAAGGGCACAGUGCUGAAAAAGCUAAAGCAAAGUAUUCCUAACAUCAGUGUUGGGCAAGGCAACAGGGAACCAUCCCACCCCCUCUCUUGACCUUCAGGGUCAACCAGUAAGUAGCAGCCAGCUGUCCAAGGAGCCCAGGUUGAAUCCCUGCAUCCAAAGACCUAUUCAAAUAGAGGUAGAGCUCCAACCAAUAGAAAGACCCUGGAGCAUCCCAUCGCCCAUUCUAACCGGCAGAACAGUAGCCUAAUACUAGGAAACCCGGAAACCUGUGGUCCAGGAGAAGUAACCAUGGCAACAAGAGUACCCAAGUGCAUCUCAUGGGCUACAUUAAUGAUGUGAAAUAAGAUGCCUGUUUCUAGGCAUAAAGAUGAUUGACCUCAUGCUAGCCUGUUCUAAACACAAUGUCUUCGUUGACUCAAAAAUUACUCAACUCAUGAAAGGAAAAAGAAAAGGGAAUUAUUGGAAGGAGGUAAAAAGAAAGAAAGAAAGAAAGAAAGAAAGAAAGAAAGAAAGAAAGAAAGAAAGAAAGAGCCAAGAGAAGAAGACUCACAUAACAUACAGCUAGAACUUUAUAUUUUCUGAAUUUGGCUUUUAAAAAUAUUUUAAAUUUAUUCUUCGAAAUUUUUAUACAUUUCUCCAGUGCUACCUCCCUCCAACUCCUUGCAGUUUAACUAAUAAAAAUGUGUGUAUUUACCAUGUAUGAGAUGAGAUGAGAUGAGCUCUCACAUUGCCCAAGCUGGCCUUGGACUUCCUAUCUACCUAAGGUUGGACUUGAACUCAAGACUCUUUGUCUCCACCUUCCAAAUUCUGGGAUUAUAGGCACCACCACCAAACAAAGUUGUGAACUAUAUUUAUGCUAUGGAAUGGACUCAGUUAAUGAACAUAAUCACAUGGCUGGAGAGAUGGCUCAGAGGUUAAGAGCACUGACUGCUCUUCCAGAGGUCCCGAGUUCAAUUCCCAGCAACCACAUGGUGGCUCACAACCAUCUGUAAUGGGAUCCGAUGCCCUCUUCUGGUGUGUCUGAAGACAGCGAGAGUGUGCUCAUAUAUAAUGAAUAAAUAAUUCUUUUUUUUAAUAAUUCUUUUUUAAAAAGAACUUUUAUAAAAAUCAGCAGAGAUAAAUAUUUUUCUCUUGACAUCAUUAAUGGGCUCAAAACAGCGAAGUAUGACCGAACAGGAGUUACACAAGCCGCAAUACAAAAGGAAAAAGAAAAAGUGUGUGUGUGUGUGUGUGUGUGUGUGUGUGUGUGUGUGUGUGUGUGUGUGUGAAGAGUAGAACCAGACUGGGAUUUAUAUGAAAGCCAUAUCAAACAGUGUCUCGUAGACGUAACUGAAGUCUCAGUGCAAAUAAUUUUCAAAACUCGAAGAGAAAUAAAGACAUUCUCGGGCAAACAAUACCGGGGAAAUUUAAUUACCAAUUCCCUGAGAAUGCAAAGCUGUAAAGGAGCUCUUGAGGCAGAGAGAAUAUGACACCAGACAGCGGAGACGCAAGCACACACAGUAAACAGACGCUCUCCAAAUAGCAAAAAGAAAAAAAAAAAAAAAAAAAGAAAAAAAAGGCAAAUAUUUAAAACGUUAUUUUCUCAGUUUAGUCACUUUGGAAAAUAAUUGCCUGCUUAUGGACAAAAAUACAAACAGUAUUCGGGGGUUUACAACAUAUGCAGAAGCAUGUCACCGUCGGCACAGACCAUAGGAGGGGGAAAUUGACAAGAUAACGCACGGCUCUCGUGCUAGGCAUCUAUUAGCAGGCUAUUAUUUAAAGACAGGCUGUCAAGGAUUGAAGAUGCAUGUGGAGACGCGGGGCAGCCAAUAAGAAGCUUCUGCAAAAUAGUAACCAGGAAGCUAAUAAUGGGGACAAAGUGAAAUACGUGAGCGAGCGAACAAAUAAAUAAAAUUAAUCGUGCGUUGUGCUGCGAGAGGAAGGUGGGAACGAAUAGAAAAUAUUUGACAAUUUGGGAGAUCUAAAUCAAGCCACGUCAAUCCUAGCUCUAAACAUAUAUGGAAAGGCCUCAGACGACAGGCAGAGAUUCUCAGAAUUGAGUUUAAAGUCAGGACCUAGCUCUACGCUGUCUUUAAGGCACGUGCUUUCGUCCUGUCCGUCAGCCUGGGAGGGGGUGCACACAUAGGGGGUGAGUGCAUGGUCUUGGAGAUCGAAGGGCAACUUUGGGGCAUCCGUUCUCUCCUGCACCUGGUGGACGCAGGAGUUCUUGUUAUUUCGUGUUGCAGACUCUGGGCCAGGAGCCCACAGGGCUUCUAACUGAUGUUCCUAUCUCCACUGUCCAUCUCUCCAUAGGAAUACCGAGAUUACAGAUGUGCACCAUUGCACCCAACUUUGGUCAUAAUGUCUCCUUACAGCCACGGAAACCCUGACUAAGAGGAAGUUGGGAGGAUCUGAGUUCAAAUCUCCCCAGCGCCCCUCUUAAAAGCUAGACUCGGUGUGCUUCAGAUGAAGAAACCCAGAGGACACCCACAGAAGAGACCCCAUGAAGGCAGAAAAUGUCAAAGAACUUCAAGAGGAAAUACGUCUGUUACUUAAGUCACACCUUCUGAAGCACCAUGGACAGAGCAAAUGACUCCUUCUCUCACUUCCUCACUGUCACAGGGUCCCAACAAGGUGGCAAAGAAAGUGUCACAUGGUGACCAAGCAUUGGAAGAUUUGCUGAGCCAUGGACCCAGGGACAGGAAGUCAUGGUUUAACACUGCGUACUAUCUGCCCCAUGAACACAGGUGUAAAAGUCCUUACACAAAUAUCUCCUAUGAAUGGAUCAGUAAAGGACGACCAGCCUCACAAGAGAGUAAGUAAAUUCUGGGGAGAUGGCUCAGUUAGGGAAGUGCUUGCCACACAAGCGUGAGGUCCUGGGUUUGAUCGCCAGCACUGAGGUAAAGCUAGGCACGGUGGCACACAUUUGUAAUCUCAAUGUUUUGCAGAUGGCUCUCGGGGCUUGCUGGCCAGCCUAGCCUUCUGGGUAAAUUCUAUGUUUAGUGAAAUGAUUCUGUCUCAAAAAAAAAAAAAAAAAGUGGGGGCAGGGCUAGAGAGACGGCCAGUGGUUAAGAGUGUGUAUUGCUCUUCGGAAAAAAACAAGUUGAGUUUCCAGUAACCAUGUUAGAAGCUUACAACAGUCUGUAAUUCCAAUUCCAGGCCCUCUUCUGGCCUCUGUGGGCACCUAAACUCAUGUGUUUAUAUAGAUAGAUGCACACACGUGUGCACAUUAACUAACACGGUAAAAUAAAUCAUUAAAAAAACAAAA